RNAcentral lists this ribosomal RNA (468 nucleotides) under uncultured bacterium. RNAcentral describes it as "partial 16S ribosomal RNA". It matches the Rfam family "Bacterial small subunit ribosomal RNA", at positions 28 to 507 of the family's 1533-position model. The record is from RNAcentral.
GACGAACGCUGGCGGCGUGCUUAACACAUGCAAGUCGAACGGAAAGGCCCUGCUUUUGUGGGGUGCUCGAGUGGCGAACGGGUGAGUAACACGUGAGUAACCUGCCCUUGACUUUGGGAUAACUUCAGGAAACUGGGGCUAAUACCGGAUAGGAGCUCCUGCUGCAUGGUGGGGGUUGGAAAGUUUCGGCGGUUGGGGAUGGACUCGCGGCUUAUCAGCUUGUUGGUUGGGUAGUGGCUUACCAAGGCUUUGACGGGUAGCCAGCCUGAGAGGGUGACCGGCCACAUUGGGACUGAGAUACGGCCCAGACUCCUACGGGAGGCAGCAGUGGGGAAUAUUGCACAAUGGGCGGAAGCCUGAUGCAGCAACGCCGCGUGCGGGAUGACGGCCUUCGGGUUGUAAACCGCUUUCGCCUGUGACGAAGCGUGAGUGACGGUAAUGGGUAAAGAAGCACCGGCUAACUACGUG